AAGUCGUAACAAGGUAACCGUAGGUGAACCUGCGGUUGGAUCAUUAUAAAAUGAAUCUUUUAGAUUUUUUUAUAUAAAAUAGAUUCGAGUAUUUUUAAAAAAGAUAUUCUCUAUUAUAUAAAAUAUCUAAUUUUACCCACUGUGCACUAUUAAUGUUUUUCGAGGAAAUUUUAUUAUAUAAAAUUCCUCGGUAGUUUUAAACAAACCCUUUAUAUAAUUUGUCUGAAUUUUUAUUAGAAAUAAUAAGAAAAACAACUUUUGACAACGGAUCUCUUGGCUCUC
This 282-nucleotide unclassified non-coding RNA is filed under the name fungal sp. Its description in RNAcentral is "partial internal transcribed spacer region". The stretch from base 1 to 46 matches the Rfam family "Eukaryotic small subunit ribosomal RNA", at positions 1786 to 1831 of the family's 1831-position model. Lineage: Eukaryota; Fungi. The record is from RNAcentral.